This is a long non-coding RNA of Gasterosteus aculeatus aculeatus (three-spined stickleback), 597 nucleotides long. NCBI's taxonomy places the organism in Eukaryota, Metazoa, Chordata, Actinopteri, Perciformes, Gasterosteidae. The record is from Ensembl.
GGAGGAGCUACAUCUCGCGCUCGCGUUCUGAGUAUUUCAGUUUCCCAAAUACGCUGUGUGUGUGUGUGUGUGUGCGCGCGUUGGCUCAAAGGAAGAGUUCCUCCAGAAAGACACGCAGCGAAUCUCAGAGCCAAAGGAGGAGCUGCUGUCUGUGACUUUGUCUCUUGUACCCGUCCUCAGAGUUUGAAGCUGAAGAAGAGUCCCUCCUACAGUCAGGACACAUAGUAACACUUUCAGAGCUCCUAAUCUGUCGGAGUUGAGAACCGUGGGACGCCGGGUAAUCAGGCCUGAGCUGCUCCUUCCAAACCAGCCAAACAUCUGGCUGCCUGCCGUUUGACCGCCUUGGCCACACACACACACACACACACGCACGCACGUUUGAUGCUAAAAGCGCUGCAGAGGAGCUCAGAAAUUACACUCAAUAAACACAGAAAUCAAAUAGAACAAUUUCCAAAUAUUAGCUUUGCCAUCUACUUUCCUGCAGUCUUAUAAAACGGCCUUUGUUGCUCACAGUAAAUAGGUUUCCCCUGCCCCCUGCCAAGUCAAACACAAAUGUCCGGUCGAUGGGAGCGUGGCUCGACUUUAAUUAAACUCGGU